CCUACGGGAGGCAGCAGUGAGGAAUAUUGGUCAAUGGGCGCGAGCCUGAACCAGCCAAGUCGCGUGAGGGAAGACGGUCCUAUGGAUUGUAAACCUCUUUUGUCGGGGAGCAAAAGACGCCACGCGUGGCGUUCCGAGAGUACCCGAAGAAAAAGCAUCGGCAAACUCCGUGCCCGCAGCCGCGGUAAUACGGAGGAUGCGAGCGUUAUCCGGAUUUAUUGGGUUUAAAGGGUGAGCAGGCGGAAGAUCAAGUCAGCGGUAAAAUUGAGAGGCUCAACCUCUUCGAGCCGUUGAAACUGGUUUUCUUGAGUGAGCGAGAAGUAUGCGGAAUGCGUGGUGUAGCGGUGAAAUGCAUAGAUAUCACGCAGAACUCCGAUUGCGAAGGCAGCAUACCGGCGCUCAACUGACGCUCAUGCACGAAAGUGUGGGUAUCGAACAGGAUUAGAUACCCCGGUAGUC
RNAcentral lists this ribosomal RNA (459 nucleotides) under uncultured bacterium. Its description in RNAcentral is "partial 16S ribosomal RNA". It matches the Rfam family "Bacterial small subunit ribosomal RNA", at positions 338 to 795 of the family's 1533-position model. The record is from RNAcentral.